Molecule: ribosomal RNA, 711 nt
Filed under: Meloidogyne javanica (root-knot nematode)
Lineage: Eukaryota; Metazoa; Nematoda; Chromadorea; Rhabditida; Meloidogynidae
Description: eukaryotic LSU rRNA
Rfam family: Eukaryotic large subunit ribosomal RNA
Source: RNAcentral
UAAGACUUAAUAUUGCCACGAGACCGAUAGCAAACAAGUACUGUGAAGGAAAGUUGCAAAGCACUUUGAAGAGAGAGUUAAAGAGGACGUGAAACCGGUAAGGUGGAAACGGAUAGAGUCGGCGUAUCAUUCAAUUAUUCAGUUACAUUAUUUUUAUGUUGUGACCUCUGAGCUCCAGAUUGGGACAGAGGGAAUCAGCAUAAUUUUUUGUGGUGCAUUUACUUGAUUGGUGCUUGGGGAUGUUUGAGGCAGAUUUGUUUCCGUCGUUUUGAGGCCAGCUUGCUGGUACCCAAACGGUGUUAGCAUUUUUUGUCUUGGGCAUUUGAGUAUGGCUCACGUGUAUUUAUUGGACAGAUCUGAGUGUAAGUUACGGUCGCAUGCGACACGUGCUUUUCAAUUAGUUCGGUCCAGUUAAUGCUCUCGUACUCGUUCCCCAUGUAAAAGCCGGUCAUCUAUCCGACCCGUCUUGAAACACGGACCAAGGAGUUUAUCGUGUGCGCAAGUUUUUGGGUGUUAAAAACUUAAAAGCGAAAUGAAAGUAAAUGACUCUUUAGAGUCUGAUGUGCGAUCUUGUAAAAAAGUGUAGCAUGGCCCCAUUCUAACUGUUUACAGUAGGGUGGCGGAAGAGCGUACGCGGUGAGACCCGAAAGAUGGUGAACUAUUCCUGAGCAGGACGAAGCCAGAGGAAACUCUGGUGGAAGUCCGAAGCGG